GCCCGGGUGGUGGAAUUGGUAGACACAGGAGAUUUAAAAUCUCCCGGCCUUACGGCUGUACCGGUUCGAUUCCGGUCCCGGGCACCA
Molecule: transfer RNA, 87 nt
Filed under: Oceanospirillaceae bacterium
Lineage: Bacteria; Pseudomonadati; Pseudomonadota; Gammaproteobacteria; Oceanospirillales; Oceanospirillaceae
Also listed under: 1 other name
Description: tRNA-Leu
Rfam family: tRNA
About the family: Transfer RNA (tRNA) molecules are approximately 80 nucleotides in length.
Source: RNAcentral